Non-coding RNA from Kogia breviceps (pygmy sperm whale), 2258 nucleotides. The record is from RefSeq and is a predicted model, not a curated record. Lineage: Eukaryota; Metazoa; Chordata; Mammalia; Artiodactyla; Physeteridae.
CGGCGGGUCAGUUGCCUCUUUCUGUUUUAUUACCUUGGACUCCAGGAGGAUCGUCUGAACCUGGUGACAUAGAGCAGCCUUUUCCUGGAGAAGCUCCUCACCUUUAAACAGGGCCCCCUGUGUAAACCCCUAAUUGGUUGCAUGAAUGCAGGGCCAGAGGGUUAGGUUUGGGGGCACUGGGGAGCAAGGUGGGAGUCCAGGUCGCCCCAGCCCCAGGUCUGCCCUCCAGGGGCAUAAAGUUGGAGGGUGCCCAACGAAGGGCCUCAUUGGCCGUUACUGCCAUAUGAGAAGAAGGUGAGCUGGGCAGAAGGAGUUUAGGGUCCUUUGGGGUCCAUUUGGGUGAGCUGGGGGUGCCCUCACCACCUUCCUGGGUUACCCUUCAGCUGCCCUGGCUAGAGCAUCACGCGGGCUUCUUGCCAUACCAGCAAGGCCAAGAUUUGGCUGGAAACACCCCGGCCUCAAAGAAAGCUUGGCAGUUACUCAUUGCCUAAUUUGAUUCAGGCCAGCCAGAUUGUAGUAACUUUUGGGUGACCCUGAUGAAGACAAAGCCGGGAUUCGGCCUUUGUAUGGCAGAGUCCCCGCUCCGCAGGCUGGGCGGGCGGGAGUCCUGCCUGCCUGGGGUUCUCUGCCCAACUCAGAAGCCACCUCUUCCGCCCACUUUUUGAUGCCAUGCAUCCUGACAGAUGUGAGGAUUCAUUCCCCCUUGAACUGUGCCCAUUUUGGGGAGCUGAUUUCAGGUGGGGUGAGUGGCGAGGGCACUGGAGGUUAGCAAAGUCAGUGGCAGACAAAAGCUGGGGUUACCUGUGGGGAAUGAGGGUGCUGGGAUUAGAACUACAUUAACAUCUGGCGGGGGCCCUCAUAUGUGCCACGGCAAGUCACUUGAUUACACGUAUGUUAUUUAGUUAAAUUUGUGAAAAUUAUGAGAUGCUCACCAACCCGGUGAUAAACUCACUCCCUCGCUAUUGGCUGGCCUGGUCACAUGGCCGCCAACUUUAUUCAGUUGACAGCAAGUAGGAGGGCCCUAUGGAAGGAGAAAAAAAGACAACACGAGAAAAAUUAGUAUUUUCUACCUUCUGAAAUUAAUGGCCAUGAGUUCGUAUAUGGUGAACUCCAAGUAUGUGGACCCCAAGUUUCCUCCGUGCGAGGAAUAUUUGCAGGGUGGCUACCUAGGCGAGCAGGGCGCUGACUACUACGGCGGCGCGCAGGGGGCCGACUUCCAGCCCCCGGGGCUCUACCCACGGCCCGACUUCGGUGAGCAGACCUUCGGAGGCGGCGGACCCGGGCCCGGCUCUGCACUGCCCACGCGGGGUCACGGGCAAGAACCCGGUGGCCCCAGCGGCCACUACGGUGCCCCGGGAGAGCCCUGCCCCGCGCCCCCGCCCCUGCCCGGCGCCCGGGCCUGCAGCCAGCCGGGCGGCCCCAAGCAGCCGCCCCCUGGGACGGCCCUCAAGCAGCCGGCCGUGGUCUACCCGUGGAUGAAGAAGGUGCACGUGAAUUCCGUGAACCCCAACUACACCGGCGGGGAGCCCAAGAGGUCCCGGACGGCCUACACCCGGCAGCAAGUCCUAGAACUGGAAAAGGAAUUUCAUUUUAACAGGUAUCUGACGCGGCGCCGUCGGAUUGAAAUCGCUCACACCCUGUGUCUUUCCGAGCGCCAGAUCAAGAUCUGGUUCCAGAACCGGAGGAUGAAGUGGAAAAAAGAUCACAAGCUGCCCAACACGAAAGGCAGGUCCUCGUCGUCGUCGUCUUCAUCCUCCUCCUCCUCUUGCUCCUCCUCAGCUGCCCCUGGCCAGCAUUUGCAGCCGCUGGCCAAGGACCACCACACGGACCUGACGACCUUAUAGAAGUGGGGACCCUGGGCCCACCCCUCCCUGAGCUCCCGGCUGAGCCGAAGCUGCGGGGGCAGGCCGGGCCUGCUGUCACCUCCCUGGGCUCUAAGAUUUCACAGUGCUGACCCAUGAGCUAACUGGUCAAUUCUCACCCAGUCACCGGAGAGUGGACUAUCUGCGUCUCUGUGAAACAUGCUGUGAUUUUGAAACCGGGUGGGGGAGAUAACUUUUUUUGAGAGCUCUGGCUUUUCUGAGUGUUAUAGGACUUUCUUUUGCCCAUCAAAACCCUGGGAUGACCUAAUGACUGACUUAUCCAUUCAUUCAUUCACUCAUUCAACAAGCAUUUACUGCACUUACUACAUGUGGUGCACUGGGCUGGAUGUCAGGAAUACGCAGGUGAAUAAGACACAGUCCCUUCCUGCAAAAAGC